CCUACGGGUGGCAGCAGUGGGGAAUAUUGCACAAUGGGGGAAACCCUGAUGCAGCGACGCCGCGUGAGUGAAGAAGUAAUUCGUUAUGUAAAGCUCUAUCAGCCGGGAAGAAAAUGACGGUACCUGAGUAAGAAGCCCCGGCUAACUACGUGCCGGCAGCCGCGGUAAUACGUAGGGGGCAAGCGUUAUCCGGAUUUACUGGGUGUAAAGGGGGCGUAGACGGCUUUUCAAGUCUGGGGUAAAAGCGGGGAGCUCAACGCCCGGCCUGCGUUGAAACUUAUGCGUCUGAGUGGCAGGUAAGUAUGCGGAAUGCGUAGUGUAGCAGUGAAAGGCAUAGAUAUCACGCAGAACUCGGAUU
Molecule: ribosomal RNA, 358 nt
Filed under: uncultured bacterium
Lineage: Bacteria
Description: partial 16S ribosomal RNA
Rfam family: Bacterial small subunit ribosomal RNA
Source: RNAcentral